RNAcentral lists this signal recognition particle RNA (291 nucleotides) under Pan paniscus (pygmy chimpanzee). RNAcentral describes it as "Metazoan signal recognition particle RNA (ENSPPAG00000007789.1)". It matches the Rfam family "Metazoan signal recognition particle RNA". From Rfam's summary of the family: The signal recognition particle (SRP) is a universally conserved ribonucleoprotein. It is involved in the co-translational targeting of proteins to membranes. The eukaryotic SRP consists of a 300-nucleotide 7S RNA and six proteins: SRPs 72, 68, 54, 19, 14, and 9. The record is from RNAcentral. Lineage: Eukaryota; Metazoa; Chordata; Mammalia; Primates; Hominidae.
GCUGUGCACAGUGGCACGUGCCUAUAGUCUCAGCUACUCGGGAGGCUGAGGCAGGAGGAUCACCUGAGCCCAGGAAUUCCGGCUGCAGUGCACUAUGCCAAUCAGGUGUUCGCACUAAAUUCAGCAUCAACAUGGUGGCCUCCACCAGGUUGCCCAAGGAGGGGGGGGGUGUGAACCGGCCCAGGUGGGAAAAGGGACAGGUGAAAAUUGUCAUGCUGAUCAGUAACGAGAUCGCGCCUGUGAAUAGCCACUUGCACUCCAGCCUGAGUGACAGAGAGACGCUGUGUUUUU